UACAGAGGGUGCAAGCGUUGUUCGGAAUUAUUGGGCGUAAAGGGAGUGUAGGCGGUCUGGUAAGUCUUCUGUGAAAUCUACGGGCUUAGCCUGUAACGUGCAGAGGAAACUACCAGGCUUGAGUGUCGGAGAGGAUAGGGGAAUUCCCGGUGUAGAGGUGAAAUUCGUAGAGAUCGGGAGGAACACCAGUGGCGAAGGCGCCUAUCUGGCUGACAACUGACGCUGAGACUCGAAAGCAUGGGGAGCAAACAGG
RNAcentral lists this ribosomal RNA (253 nucleotides) under uncultured bacterium. RNAcentral describes it as "partial 16S ribosomal RNA". It matches the Rfam family "Bacterial small subunit ribosomal RNA", at positions 524 to 776 of the family's 1533-position model. The record is from RNAcentral.